Molecule: ribosomal RNA, 491 nt
Filed under: uncultured bacterium
Lineage: Bacteria
Description: partial 16S ribosomal RNA
Rfam family: Bacterial small subunit ribosomal RNA
Source: RNAcentral
GUGAACGCUGGCGGUAGGCCUAACACCUGCACGUCGAACGGCAGCACAGUAAGAGCUUGCUCUUACGGGUGGCGAGUGGCGGACGGGUGAGGAAUACAUCGGAAUCUACUUUUUCGUGGGGGAUAACGUAGGGAAACUUACGCUAAUACCGCAUACGACCUACGGGUGAAAGCAGGGGAUCUUCGGACCUUGCGCGAUUGAAUGAGCCGAUGUCGGAUUAGCUAGUUGGCGGGGUAAAGGCCCACCAAGGCGACGAUCCGUAGCUGGUCUGAGAGGAUGAUCAGCCACACUGGAACUGAGACACGGUCCAGACUCCUACGGGAGGCAGCAGUGGGGAAUAUUGGACAAUGGGCGCAAGCCUGAUCCAGCCAUACCGCGUGGGUGAAGAAGGCCUUCGGGUUGUAAAGCCCUUUUGUUGGGAAAGAAAAGCAGCAGGUUAAUACCCCGCUGUUCUGACGGUACCCAAAGAAUAAGCACCGGCUAACUUCGUG